Molecule: transfer RNA, 87 nt
Filed under: Burkholderia territorii
Lineage: Bacteria; Pseudomonadati; Pseudomonadota; Betaproteobacteria; Burkholderiales; Burkholderiaceae
Description: tRNA-Leu
Rfam family: tRNA
About the family: Transfer RNA (tRNA) molecules are approximately 80 nucleotides in length. Their secondary structure includes four short double-helical elements and three loops (D, anti-codon, and T loops). Further hydrogen bonds mediate the characteristic L-shaped molecular structure. tRNAs have two regions of fundamental functional importance: the anti-codon, which is responsible for specific mRNA codon recognition, and the 3' end, to which the tRNAs corresponding amino acid is attached (by aminoacyl-tRNA synthetases). tRNAs cope with the degeneracy of the genetic code in two manners: having more than one tRNA (with a specific anti-codon) for a particular amino acid; and 'wobble' base-pairing, i.e. permitting non-standard base-pairing at the 3rd anti-codon position.
Source: RNAcentral
CGGAUAGUGGCGCAAUUGGUAGACGCCCGCGCCUUAAAAGCGACGAGUCCGCAAGGAAUGCGAGUUCGAGUCUCGCCUAUCUGACCA